UUUCCCUUUUGAUUAUCACAGAGAAUUUGCUAUUUUUCCCCCUGACUUGGAACUUUGCAGAAGUGACUUGCUAAACCAAGAUACUGGUUUGAUUUUGAACAUGGAACUAGAGAUUAUCAUGGGUUUGUGAAAGAACGCAAUGGGUGAUAGAAUUUGAAAGAAGACUCUUAAGGGGCUUUGCCCAGACGAGACCUGAUUAACUUCGGGGCAGUGGUUCUCACACUUUAACGUGCAUAAAAAGCACCCGGAAUAUUGCUGAAACAAUUUCUUGAACCCCAUUGCCAGACAUGACUCAGCAGGUCAGGGGCAGAGCCCAGGAGUGAGCUUUCCUAGAGAAGUCACAGAUGAUACCAGUGCUGCUGCUCCAAGGACUGUGCUUCAGAAGCUAUAGCUCUUGGCCAAUCUCCGUGAGUAAAAGUUCCUCAACCUCAGGCUUAAAGUUUAUUUUGACUGUUUACUGUAACUUUGACUUCAAUUCUCUUCUUGAAGGGCAUUACUUGUCAUCCUAAUAUGAUUACCCCCUUUUCCAGAGCAUCAGACACACAGUUGCACCCAGUACAUGGGACACAGCGAGAAUGGAAGCCAUGGGGAAGAAAAAAGCAUCAAGAGAUCAGGAUCCAGUCUCAGGAUUAACACAAUGCCUGCCACGCAUUAGGGCUUGAACAGUAUGUUUUUGAAUGAGUGAGUAAAUAUGAUGGAAUUUCAAGGCUUCCAUACUUCAGGAAAGGGAUUUUAGGUCAAGAAUCUGGUGCUCUGUGUUUUAUUUAUGUUGAAAUAAAGUCAAAUGUCAUACAUCUGUUUUUAAAAGUGGCAUAUGAAUUUUUGUGGGGGAGAUUAAAUAGUACUUUAAAUUCUUCUAGGAAGCUGGGGCCAUAGGAUGAAUCACUGUAGAAAGCAAAAUCCUUUUAUAAUUAAAAACAUUACUCUCUAACUUAUCUAGUUGUAUAAGUUUGGUUUUUCUUCAAGUGGGAAACACUGUAUUUUUACCUUAAGAAUCACCAACUUCACUUUUUA
This 1014-nucleotide long non-coding RNA is filed under the name Lynx pardinus (Iberian lynx). The record is from RNAcentral. Lineage: Eukaryota; Metazoa; Chordata; Mammalia; Carnivora; Felidae.